This is a long non-coding RNA of Globicephala melas (long-finned pilot whale), 1143 nucleotides long. RefSeq lists it as uncharacterized. The record is from RefSeq and is a predicted model, not a curated record. Lineage: Eukaryota; Metazoa; Chordata; Mammalia; Artiodactyla; Delphinidae.
UUGGACAUCCCAUCGCUUUUGUGUUUUCUACUUGUUAGAAGCAGGUCCUUCGGUCCAGCCCACGCUCCAGCAAAGAAGAUUCCACAGGGACACAGAGGCAGAGACAUCAGAGCUCGCUCUCUCCACCAUGUGAAGACACAGCAAGAAGGCGGCUGUCUACAAGCCAGGAAGGGAGCUCUCACCAGACCCCGACCAUGCUGGCACCCUGAUCUUGGACUUCCAGCCUCCAGGAAGAGGAAGUGUGGACAUGGAGAGACGCCAGGGAUGUGUGUGCUCGGGGAGACCCUGUGAGGACCCAGCAAGAAGGCAGCAUGUGCAGGCAAGGAGAGAGGCCUCAGGAGAGACCAGACCCCUGACACCUCGACCUUGGACUUUCAGCCUCCAGAACUGAGCACGAGUGGGGUGGGGCCUUCAGACGACCCAGGCUGUUUCCCACGAGGGGGAUCUGCAGGGUGAGGGGAACGAACCCACGAGAAGCAGCAGAGACUGGGCCUGUGAGCCCCUCCCAGGCCCGGCAUCCUGGGGCCCCGCUUGGCCUGCCUCAGGCUGGGGCCGCCACCUUCACCCCAAGCUCACGGAGUGGGGAAGCAGCUCAGACCCUUCCUGGCACAGAUGUCUGCUUCCGUGGAUCGGACCCUGUGGAAAGGACCCCGCUGGCCCGGACCCACCGAAGAAGAGCUCAGGCCCGGCCUUGGAGGUGGGCCAGCGCCAGUGAAACCUGUACCGAGAAGAAGAAGCAAGACAGCAAAGUGCCGCUCAGCACAGCAUCCAGGGAGUCAGCCCAGAGGUGGGACAGGGUGCCCCCUCCCCUUGCUGACUCCCGGCCUGCGCUCUGUCCUCUGGGCUCCAUGUCUCAGGGACACCCUGGAGAAGGUGCAGCCAGGCAGCUCCGUGAGUGGCCGCCGAGCAUUACCAGUGGUGCCCAGGCCUGAAAGCCCCGUCCCUCCUCCUUAAUGAGGACAUGGACCUGAGCAUCCUUCCCGCCUCCUGGUAUCACCCUUGAGCUUGUUGCCAAAUCUGGCUCCCUGUGCACCUAUGCCGAAUAACAAUACGGAGACAGAGAAUUGGAAGAUAAGAAAUAGAGAGGCUUUUUAUUUUCUUUGCCAGGCAAAGGGAAGACACGGUAGGCUAACACCUCGAGAA